CGGGUUGCAUGAAAGAUAUCCUAUUAAGCUGUUAGUACUGGAAAGACAAAGUGGAUGAAGAAUGAAUUUUGCAGAAAGUCAGGGACCCUGAAACAGACGACCUGGAACUUGGCCUACGUCAAGUUGAUUGUUGAUGCAAGGGACAGUGUACGUGAGGAGUGACUAUCUGAGCUGACCCUUGGAUGAAGCCAGAUCUCCAUUGACUAACACUUUCCCCAGUUCACCCACCCAUCCCUGGAUAACCAGACUCCAGACAACUGAAGCCUUCUUAGGCUUCAG
Molecule: long non-coding RNA, 279 nt
Filed under: Vombatus ursinus (common wombat)
Lineage: Eukaryota; Metazoa; Chordata; Mammalia; Diprotodontia; Vombatidae
Description: lncRNA (ENSVURG00010007241.1)
Source: RNAcentral